UACGUAGGGGGCAAGCGUUGUCCGGAAUCAUUGGGCGUAAAGCGCGUGUAGGCGGCUCGGAUAAGUCUGCUGUGAAAGUUCAGGGCUCAACCCUGAAAUGCCGGUGGAAACUGUCGGGCUAGAGUCCGGAAGAGGCGAGUGGAAUUCCUGGUGUAGCGGUGAAAUGCGCAGAUAUCAGGAGGAACACCAAUGGCGAAGGCAGCUCGCUGGGACGGUAUUGACGCUGAGACGCGAAAGCGUGGGGAGCAAACAGG
Molecule: ribosomal RNA, 254 nt
Filed under: uncultured bacterium
Lineage: Bacteria
Description: partial 16S ribosomal RNA
Rfam family: Bacterial small subunit ribosomal RNA
Source: RNAcentral